Molecule: long non-coding RNA, 582 nt
Filed under: Homo sapiens (human)
Lineage: Eukaryota; Metazoa; Chordata; Mammalia; Primates; Hominidae
Description: HSALNT0352597
Source: RNAcentral
CAAAAAGGGCACGGGGCAGAGGGACUAUGUUGUGAGCCUGCGAAAGAAGUUUGUGUGGGGACUGUGGGCAGUGAAUGCGUUGGGAACAAUAUGGAAAACUGGGAGCUGCCUUGGAAUCUACAGGGCCGGGCUUUGCAUCUGUUUUUUCUUUGGAGGCUGAAGAAAAGAAGAAUGGUAUUCAUGCAGUUCCCAUUUUACAGAUGAAAACAAGAGGACUUUUUCUGUGAAGUCAAGAAAGUGGUUACAAUGGUACUUUCAGCCUGUCCGAAUUAUGUAUUGCCCCUCCCCUUUUUAUUAAUAACAUUGAAGUGUGAUGGGACAACCACUGAAGCCGUCUGUUGAAACCUGCUGGGACUUUUUAGCCAUUCUCUUCAACAUAAAGAAUGGGUGUUUUUGGAGGGGGUGAGAGGAAUGGGGAAAUGUUGUCAAAGAGUACAAUGUUUUAGUUGAGACAGGAGGAAUAUAUUUUGUUGAGAUCUACAGCACAGCAUGGUGACUGUAGUUAACAAUGAAGUAUUGUGUAUUUCAAAAUUGCUAAGACAAUAAAUUUCAAAUGUUCUCACCACAAAAAAGAUAGGUUUU